AUUGAACGCUGGCGGCAGGCCUAACACAUGCAAGUCGAGCGGAUGAAGGGAGCCUGCUCCUGGAUUCAGCGGCGGACGGGUGAGUAAUGUCUAGGAAUCUGCCUGGUAGUGGGGGAUAACGUCCGGAAACGGGCGCUAAUACCGCAUACGUCCUGAGGGAGAAAGUGGGGGAUCUUCGGACCUCACGCUAUCAGAUGAGCCUAGGUCGGAUUAGCUAGUUGGUGGGGUAAAGGCCUACCAAGGCGACGAUCCGUAACUGGUCUGAGAGGAUGAUCAGUCACACUGGAACUGAGACACGGUCCAGACUCCUACGGGAGGCAGCAGUGGGGAAUAUUGGACAAUGGGCGAAAGCCUGAUCCAGCCAUGCCGCGUGUGUGAAGAAGGUCUUCGGAUUGUAAAGCACUUUAAGUUGGGAGGAAGGGCAGUAAGUUAAUACCUUGCUGUUUUGACGUUACCAACAGAAUAAGCACCGGCUAACUUCGUG
RNAcentral lists this ribosomal RNA (484 nucleotides) under uncultured bacterium. Its description in RNAcentral is "partial 16S ribosomal RNA". It matches the Rfam family "Bacterial small subunit ribosomal RNA", at positions 30 to 507 of the family's 1533-position model. The record is from RNAcentral.